AGCAGAGAGGAGACACAGAUGGGCCGUGGGAGAAGAGAGAUAGGAGGGCAGAGGCGAUCGCCGGUGCAAGCAGGAAAUGCCUUCGCCUCCUCCUGCGGGUUUGCAAAGAGCUCUGAAAAGCAAUUGAACAAUAACUAGGACAGAAGUAGAACAGAAGGAUGCAGAUACAGAGGGGUCAACUCUAUACAUGAGGAUCAGCAACACAGAGGAAAUGGUAGUGAAGAGCUGUGAGUAAGCAAUCCUCUCGUCGCAUAGUCAUGGCUAUAUCCAUUGUCAUGCUGCCAUAUGGUCCCCACCACGAUGGACUGCAUAUCCUCAAACCACGAGCUGGAUGGACUAAACGUCUCCACCUCUCUAUUGGUUUUUGCCAGGGUCCUUGAACGGCUCUCUAAAACCUCACCUCUGAUGUUCUCCUACUUCAUGUCGCAACAGGAGAGACCUGAACAGAGCCCUUCUGCACUCCACGAAACACCUGCCUUCCUUUUCAGGACUUCCAUUUCGGUACAGCUGGAAAUAGCCUUGCUGAAUUAAGAGGCACACGAUUUUAAAAUCCAAGGACAUUUUCUUCAAUUUGUACUUCACAAGUAUGUGGGAUAAUUCUCUAGAGCCCCUGCUCUUCAAACAAACAGAACUGGCAUCUUCUGUGAACUCGAAAGGGCGGAACGGUCCCAGGCUCCAUCUAGACUCAUUGAAUGAGACUUUGCUGUUGAAUCAGCUUCCCCAGUGACACAUAAUUCUUAAAUUUGAUAAACAGCCUUCUCUAUAGUUCUUUGCCUGCUCAAAUGGGGGCAUUCGUAAACUUUAAAUAUUGUGUUGUUUAUUUCUCUUUAUUUAAAGAGCAUCGGUACACUAUUACUUUAAUACCAUUUUUCCAGAAUAUUUCCUUAAUCACCCUUAAGUGCAGAGGGUGAUAAUUUAUAGCAUUUACCUUUAUGAAUGUGAAAAUAUUUUUCACUGUACUAAUAUUUAUCAUAUCUUUCAUUUUCCAAGAUUCCUUUGAGGCAUCUGAAGGUGUUUUGGAAAGUUCCUGCGCUGGUCCUUCUGUUUCCUGGGACAUAAGUUAUCUGGGCUGGGAGAUAUAUAUUUAUUGAACAGACCUCUAGGUGAUCCUGCAGACCCGUGGUUCUCAUCCUCUGGGUCAUGACCUCCUUGGUGUGUGGGGGGAGUGGAAUGACCCUUUCCCUGGGGGCUCUUAAGACCAUCGGGAAACACAGACAUUUAAAUUAAAGUUCAUAACAGUAGCAAAAUUACAGUUAUGAAAUUGCAAUGAAGAUAACUUUGUGGUUGGGGGUCACCACCACACUAGGAACUGGCUUAAAGGGCUGCAGCAUUAGGAAGGUUGAGAACUACUCCUGUAGACCAAAAGGAUAUUUGAGAUGUCCAUAUUCUACUUUUGUACACAGCUGCUUGCAGGGAGAAUCUAGCAGAUGACUAUAGAUCCCACACUUUAAUUUUGUUGGUUGUUUCCUCCGUUGAGGCUGCCCCUUCUGUCUUGUGCUGAGAUCCAUGUAUCAAAGCAAAGAGCCUUCCUGUUCUGGCUGGAGGUGUAGGGAGGAACCCAGAGCUGUGAUUGCUCCCCGCUUAGUGCCUAUCUGACCCUGAAUAUGCCAUCUUUUGAGUCAAUCUUUGAUGUUUUGUGCCACUUAUGAAUGUUUAUUCAUCACCCCUCAGAGAUUACAUUUUCCAUAGGUCAGUUUGCUUACCCCUCAGAGCAUCUCUCUCCUGUGCUUACAUGGCCAUUUUCCAGAAUGGAAAUUUGAGAAUCAAAUAAACAAUGGAAAAUGGUGAAAAA
Molecule: long non-coding RNA, 1792 nt
Filed under: Mus musculus (house mouse)
Lineage: Eukaryota; Metazoa; Chordata; Mammalia; Rodentia; Muridae
Description: predicted gene, 35110
Source: RNAcentral